GGGCGCGGAAGCCUGUGGCGCGUCCCUCUCCGUCCUCCUGAAGGCCGAGAACCUGGCAGGAGACUUCAGCAAGCGACCCCACUUCUGUGAACCCAAGCUUCUUCACUCACUACCUGCAGGUGAUGAAAUGGUUUCAGGUCCGCUUGAGAGGAUCAAUGGUGACUAUCAGGCAACGGCCUGGUCCAACAGGAAGAGCCCAGUCUCCUCAGUAGACAGGCCAGAGGUCCUCCUGCAACUUCGGGGAGUGAAGGAGACAGGACACUGGGGUCUCCUCCACACAGUUCACGGCCCAGCCCAGGGCCAGGAAACCUUGUAAUCCAAGACACAAGCCACCUGGAAUCACAGCAUGUCUGAUGAAAGGAACCCCU
This is a long non-coding RNA of Ailuropoda melanoleuca (giant panda), 368 nucleotides long. RefSeq lists it as uncharacterized. The record is from RefSeq and is a predicted model, not a curated record. NCBI's taxonomy places the organism in Eukaryota, Metazoa, Chordata, Mammalia, Carnivora, Ursidae. The transcript has 4 exons.